This 74-nucleotide transfer RNA is filed under the name Streptomyces phage Bmoc. RNAcentral describes it as "tRNA-Ile". It matches the Rfam family "tRNA". From Rfam's summary of the family: Transfer RNA (tRNA) molecules are approximately 80 nucleotides in length. Their secondary structure includes four short double-helical elements and three loops (D, anti-codon, and T loops). Further hydrogen bonds mediate the characteristic L-shaped molecular structure. tRNAs have two regions of fundamental functional importance: the anti-codon, which is responsible for specific mRNA codon recognition, and the 3' end, to which the tRNAs corresponding amino acid is attached (by aminoacyl-tRNA synthetases). tRNAs cope with the degeneracy of the genetic code in two manners: having more than one tRNA (with a specific anti-codon) for a particular amino acid; and 'wobble' base-pairing, i.e. permitting non-standard base-pairing at the 3rd anti-codon position. Lineage: Duplodnaviria; Heunggongvirae; Uroviricota; Caudoviricetes; Stanwilliamsviridae. The record is from RNAcentral.
GCGCCUGUAGCAUAACGGUCGAUGCAUCUGUCUUAUAAGCAGACGAUAGGUGGUUCAAUUCCACCCAGGCGCAC